This 460-nucleotide ribosomal RNA is filed under the name uncultured bacterium. Its description in RNAcentral is "partial 16S ribosomal RNA". It matches the Rfam family "Bacterial small subunit ribosomal RNA", at positions 338 to 795 of the family's 1533-position model. The record is from RNAcentral.
CCUACGAGUGGCAGCAGUGAGGAAUAUUGGACAAUGGGCGAGAGCCUGAACCAGCGAAGUCGCGUGAAGGAUGACGGCCCUACGGGUUGUAAGCUUCUUUUGUCAGGGAGCAAUUGGGUCCACGCGUGGGCUUAGCGCGAGUAACUGAAGAAAAAGCAUCGGCUAACUCCGUGCCAGCAGCCGCGGUAAGACGGAGGAUGCGGGCGGUAUGCGGAUUUAAUGGGUUUAAAGGGUGCGUGGGCGGAAUAUCAGGUCAGCGGUAAAAAUUCGGGGCUCAACCCCGUCGUGCCGUUGAAACUGGUGUUCUUGAGUGGGCGAGAAGUAUGCGGAAUGCGUGGUGUAGCGGUGAAAUGCAGAGAUAUCACGCAGAACUCCGAUUGCGAAGGCAGCAUACCGGCGCCCAACUGACGCUGAGGCACGAAAGCGUGGGUAUCGAACAGGAUUAGAUACCCCUGUAGUC